GUUACAUGAUGUCCACCCACUGUGCCCCCAUCCCAAUCACAAAAUGUACAUGCUUAAAAGAAAAAAAAAAUAUUUAGGCAUAAAUUUUUGUAGAAAAAUUUUAUAACUUCACGAGAUCCGAUUUGGUUAGGUGGCUCACGACUUGGUUAGUCUACUAAAAUCUUAAUUUUGGAUAUUGUAAUGUUAAGAUUGCAUGCCACAAUCUCAGUAUUAUAUGAAAAUUGCUAGUCUACAAGUAAGCAUCGAUACCUCUUCUCCAUAUAAAAGUCAACUUCCA
This 277-nucleotide unclassified non-coding RNA is filed under the name Hevea brasiliensis (rubber tree). Lineage: Eukaryota; Viridiplantae; Streptophyta; Magnoliopsida; Malpighiales; Euphorbiaceae. The record is from RNAcentral.